This 17-nucleotide non-coding RNA is filed under the name Mus musculus (house mouse). The record is from RNAcentral. Lineage: Eukaryota; Metazoa; Chordata; Mammalia; Rodentia; Muridae. RNAcentral also lists the same sequence under 4 other names.
AACCUGCGGAAGGAUCA